RNAcentral lists this ribosomal RNA (466 nucleotides) under uncultured bacterium. Its description in RNAcentral is "partial 16S ribosomal RNA". It matches the Rfam family "Bacterial small subunit ribosomal RNA", at positions 28 to 507 of the family's 1533-position model. The record is from RNAcentral.
GAUGAACGCUGGCGGCGUGCUUAACACAUGCAAGUCGAACGAUGAAGCCCAGCUUGCUGGGUGGAUUAGUGGCGAACGGGUGAGUAACACGUGAGUACCCUGCCCUUGACUCUGGGAUAAGCCUGGGAAACUGGGUCUAAUACUGGAUAUGACUUCUCAUCGCAUGGUGGGGGGUGGAAAGAUUUAUUGGUCUUGGAUGGACUCGCGGCCUAUCAGCUUGUUGGUGAGGUAAUGGCUCACCAAGGCGACGACGGGUAGCCGGCCUGAGAGGGUGACCGGCCACACUGGGACUGAGACACGGCCCAGACUCCUACGGGAGGCAGCAGUGGGGAAUAUUGCACAAUGGGCGCAAGCCUGAUGCAGCGACGCCGCGUGAGGGAUGACGGCCUUCGGGUUGUAAACCUCUUUCAGUAGGGAAGAAGCGAGAGUGACGGUACCUGCAGAAGAAGCGCCGGCUAACUACGUG